UCCGCCUGGUAUAUAAGGGCCGAAUGGCCCGGCCGGCUACAGAGCGCGCAGCCGGCGCGGGUGCGCGGUACGGAGCGGGUAGCCUGAGGACCGGGCCACCGAGGCUGGCAUUUCUUGUUCUGCGCUUCUGCCCAAGGACCCUAUGCUAGGCAGGCGCCCACCGUAAGCCUCCCAGGCCUUGUGAACCUACAAACCCAAGUCGGAGAGACGAUCCGCCUUCGGCGCUUUCCGGCUUGGCAGAGGGGUUUUCCUGGCGGGGAUCUUUGGUUUGCGCUGGCGAUGCGUGGGGAAGAAAGGCGAGGAGCGGCGUCCAGGCUGGGUGCUGUCCCAGCGCGAGGAGGCGGGAUGCGCUCGCGGGGUCCGCGGGGCAUCUGGUCCCCGCCGGCGUCGCGCGCCCACCCUUGGGGAAGAGAAUGCGGCCGCUUGGGGACCCCCGCCCCCGACCUCCUCCAGUCUGGAGCGCAGAGGACAGGGUCAGGACCAGGCGCUUUGGCCUUGGAUGGAAAGUGGGGAAUUGGGUGGGGGGCUGCGGAUCCCUUAACGUGGAUUACUUGGUGUGUAUCAGCUGGGCUCAGAAGACCCAGGACCUCCUCUCCGUCCGUGGAUUGAUUGGUUCUACUUAACAGCUGGGUCGCCAAGUUGGAGGCGGAAUCAGAGGUUUCUGGCUGACUCAGUGGGUGCUUUGUACCAGGAAAGGACAAGAAAGAGGAUGGGAAGGAGGACUGAUCCACGUUCCCACCAGGAAGCUUAGUGGAACCCCCGUAUGCCACCUGGACCCCCUGGAAGGACCUGGCCAAGGCUGAACCACCUCUUGAGAGGCAAGAGCUCCGGAUUUGAUCAAAAAUUCUUGGCUGGGCAUGGUGCCUCAUGCCUAUAAUCCCAACACUUUGGGAAACCGAGGUGGGAGGAUCGCUUGAGCCUGGGAGUUCAAGACCAGCCUGGGCAACAUAAGGAGACCCCAUCUCUAAAAAAUAGUAAUAAUAAAAUAAAAAAUUAGCAGGGCAUGGUGGCAUGUGCCUCUAGUCCCAGCUACCCAGGAGGCUGAGGCAAGAGAAUGGCUGGAGCCUGGGACAUUGAGGCUGCAAUGAACUGUGAUUACCCCACUGCACUCCAGCCUGGGCAACAGAGCGAGAGACCCUGUCUCAAAAUAAUAAUAAUAAUAAUCUUAUUUUGGAGAAUAAAGGAAACCUCUGGAUUUGAGGAGCCAUUUGGGUAGAAAGCAAAGACCUUCACAAUGAGAAAUAGUCUGUGUUCACCUGAAGGAACAGAGGGAUGCAUCGCUGGAGGUGACCUACAGUUGGAGAAGACUCAUUAUGCCAGACCUUGUCCUUCUUCCUUGUGGAAAAUGUUUCCUCUGCUGCUACUGCUCAUGAGACUCUUCCCCCUCCCUGUCUCAGGCAACCAAAGGGCUUUCUACCACACCCUUUCUUGCCCCCCGCCUCCCAUGUCUGCUGUGCCUUUGUACUCAGCAAUUCUUGUUUGCUCCAUUAUCUUCCAGCCGGAUACAGAGUGAAUAGUUAACCACACUUAGGUCAAAUAGGAUCUGAAUUUUUGUUCCUGCUCCGUCUAAAGAGGCCAGUGUUUGUGCGUUGCAAGCAGCCUUGGAAUAGCAACUCUUCUCAUUUGUUUGGGAUCUCAUUGUAUUCCUCAGCCAUCAAGUUCCAGAAUGAUACAUGGAUCAGUGCAGAAGUUCAUCAGGCUCUCGGACCUUAGGGCCGUUGGAGAAGCCUUCAGCAGGGGAACUGAUGGUGAAGGCUGGUAUUCUCCAUCCUCAACUUUCUUUGCUUGGAUCACACAUAAGUAUACAUUUGGAAGGGCAAAAAAAUGAACACUCUUGUUCAUUGCAGCCAUGUUUUGUGACACAGAUGCACAGUCUGCUGUGAAGACCUUCUCGCAAGUGGCAGUUGGGGGUCCAUGCCAGAUCAUGGUGCUUCACGACAGACUAACAGCUACCAGGGAUGGUGGCACUUAGUGAGGACCCUCCUCCCCCACUGUGUGCUGAUGACACAUACACACCUGACAAUAGCUUGAGUCUUCUCUGUUCUUUUUACUCUGUGGCCACCAUACACAUGAUUUAAAACCCUUCCUAAAUAUCUAUCAUGGUUCACCCUUGUUCAAAUGCAGAGUCAAAGCUACUUGUACUUUAUUAUUAUUUCCAAGGCACAUAGAUGGCUUGCUUUUUACAAAAAGAAUUAAAGCUUUUGUAUGUUGCAGUU
This is a long non-coding RNA of Rhinopithecus roxellana (golden snub-nosed monkey), 2216 nucleotides long. RefSeq lists it as uncharacterized. The transcript has 3 exons. The record is from RefSeq and is a predicted model, not a curated record. Lineage: Eukaryota; Metazoa; Chordata; Mammalia; Primates; Cercopithecidae.